UUGGAGAGGCAACAUGGGAGAUGUAACCGGCACGUUGCUCGCAGCGGAGAGGUACGAAGAAUAAAGUGCAACUUGACAGCAGACGGCUCACUUGGGGAUUUGUGUAUGUUUUUCUAUUAGCGAACGAUCGGGCCUUGAGCUUCAAUCCUCCGUCAAAGACGUCAGGAGCCGGUUUAGAGGUCUUCGGAACUGAAGGCCCUGUGAUUUUGGACAAACGUAUAAUCUUCAGCAAAGUGACGCUUGAGGCUAUUUAUCAAACUUUGAUGUGUUCGCCGCGCAGCCCUUACCAUACAACAUGUUUUUUCACAUAUGCAGUGUUACACAAGACCUGUAAACAGACGUCGGUGUGUGAAGAAACGGUGGAAUCAUCGCUUUGAAGCACACGGCCUGCCUCAGAGCUUUCACGCCAUAACAUACAGGACGCUGCAUAAGUACGGCAGAUUGAAAGUUAAACCAUAAAGAUAUACAAAACGUGCUUUUCGUGUGAUUUUCGCUUCGAACAGCUUCCUGCAGCACGAUCCAUCAUCUGCGAGGGCUGUCAGUCGAUCGCAGACGAAGCACUCAACAGUGUCCUUCCUGUCAGUCAGCCCACGAGAAGCUGUUUCAAUACAAAAGGCUGUCUGUCGUGGCCGCUGUCAAGGAAGAUGGUCUCUGCGCCUGUUUCCGUCUCUGAGCUGUGAUUGGACAGCGUUGGAUACGUAAUGCAUCCAAAGCCUCUGUGUUAAAACAAACAUCAAUCAUUAAAGGCGUUCCGUCACAGAAAGAGUCAUUGUGUGACUAAAUAUUUGUAUGUUAUCUGAGGCCAUUUGUGGGUUUGCAGUGAUUUGUUGUGUAAACCAAUACAAUCAAUUACAAAAGAAUGGAAUUAUAAAAGGUAGCACAGAACUUUGACAAAACAGUACAAGAUUUUGAGAAAAAAUAAUACUCCGUUCAAUAUGUUGCAUGUAAUGUAGAACUUUGAGACUAAAUAAUUAUAAUUAUAAAUGAUUGUUUUUUAGUGCAACGCGAUGGUUGAAUGAUGAUGAAGAUGGUCAAUAAAAUGCACCAAUUGAAACUACUUUAACCGCCAAGAAAUCACAUUUUUUCCAGCUCACAAUAUUUUACUCUACAUGAUAUGAACAAAUUAUUGAUCCCUUUUCACAAAGCAGUUUCACUUUACUUAAGCAGAGAGACAAUAAAAAGACAUUCACCUUGAAUUAAACCCUCUCCACUAAAUUAGCAAAACAAAUUCUUAAAAAGAAGCCUGUAGCGGGUGUGUGUGUGUGUGUGUGUGUGUGUGUGUGUGUGUUUUAUUCCUGUUUAUGAGCUUGAUAGCUCUUGUAAUCAAACCAGUGGAGGAUUCUGAUUUAAGGGAAGUGGUGUUUUAAAUAAUGGCCUAAAAUUCGGAUGAGGUCAGGAUGUGAGGCUAUUUUGACCCCCCCCCCCCCCCCCCUGUAAAUACGCAAUCCGACUGAAGCCUCAUUUCUCUUUACCUACAGUAUGUUUUCUUGUAGCUGCAUAGUUAUUUAGUAACUUAAGCUUAUUCUACAGUUGUCAUAGUAUUUUUCCACAAAAUGCGAGGCUGUACCUCCGUUUGAACGAUAUCGCUUUCGAAUUUCCGAAUAGCACAGG
This is a long non-coding RNA of Gasterosteus aculeatus aculeatus (three-spined stickleback), 1611 nucleotides long. The record is from Ensembl. NCBI's taxonomy places the organism in Eukaryota, Metazoa, Chordata, Actinopteri, Perciformes, Gasterosteidae.